UUCUUCGGAUGAAGAUCUUGGUGACUGAGUGGCGGACGGGUGAGUAACGCGUGGGUAACCUGCCUCAUACAGGGGGAUAACAGUUAGAAAUGACUGCUAAUACCGCAUAAGCGCACAGUACCGCAUGGUACAGUGUGAAAAACUCCGGUGGUAUAAGAUGGACCCGCGUUGGAUUAGCUAGUUGGCAGGGCAGCGGCCUACCAAGGCGACGAUCCAUAGCCGACCUGAGAGGGUGACCGGCCACAUUGGGACUGAGACACGGCCCAAACUCC
RNAcentral lists this ribosomal RNA (272 nucleotides) under uncultured Lachnospiraceae bacterium. RNAcentral's name for it is "partial 16S ribosomal RNA". It matches the Rfam family "Bacterial small subunit ribosomal RNA", at positions 73 to 339 of the family's 1533-position model. The record is from RNAcentral. Lineage: Bacteria; Bacillati; Bacillota; Clostridia; Lachnospirales; Lachnospiraceae.